This 557-nucleotide ribosomal RNA is filed under the name Staphylococcus pseudintermedius. RNAcentral's name for it is "partial 23S ribosomal RNA". It matches the Rfam family "Bacterial large subunit ribosomal RNA", at positions 2345 to 2903 of the family's 2925-position model. The record is from RNAcentral. Lineage: Bacteria; Bacillati; Bacillota; Bacilli; Caryophanales; Staphylococcaceae.
UAGAGUGUAAAGGCAUAAGGGAGCUUGACUGCGAGACCUACAAGUCGAGCAGGGUCGAAAGACGGACUUAGUGAUCCGGUGGUUCCGCAUGGAAGGGCCAUCGCUCAACGGAUAAAAGCUACCCCGGGGAUAACAGGCUUAUCUCCCCCAAGAGUUCACAUCGACGGGGAGGUUUGGCACCUCGAUGUCGGCUCAUCGCAUCCUGGGGCUGUAGUCGGUCCCAAGGGUUGGGCUGUUCGCCCAUUAAAGCGGUACGCGAGCUGGGUUCAGAACGUCGUGAGACAGUUCGGUCCCUAUCCGUCGUGGGCGUAGGAAAUUUGAGAGGAGCUGUCCUUAGUACGAGAGGACCGGGAUGGACAUACCUCUGGUGUACCAGUUGUCGUGCCAACGGCAUAGCUGGGUAGCUAUGUAUGGACGGGAUAAGUGCUGAAAGCAUCUAAGCAUGAAGCCCCCCUCGAGAUGAGAUUUCCCAACUUCGGUUAUAAGAUCCCUCAAAGAUGAUGAGGUGAAUAGGUUCGAGGUGGAAGCGUAGCGAUACGUGGAGCUGACGAAUACUA